AGAUUGAACGCUGGCGGCAUGCCUAACACAUGCAAGUCGAACGGGAGUAGCAAUACUCUAGUGGCGGACGGGUGAAGAAUACGUAGGAAUUUGCCCUUAAGUGGGGGAUAACCCGGGGAAACCCGGAUUAAUACCGCAUGACCUCAAAAGAGCAAAGUGGGGGAUCGCAAGACCUCACGCUUUUGGAGAAGCCUACGUCGGAUUAGCUAGUUGGUGAGGGAAUGGCUCACCAAGGCGACGAUCCGUAACUGGUCUGAGAGGAUGAUCAGUCACACCGGACUGAGACACGGUCCGACUCCUACGGGAGCAGCAGUGGGGAAUAGUUGGACAAGU
Molecule: ribosomal RNA, 333 nt
Filed under: uncultured soil bacterium
Lineage: Bacteria
Description: bacterial SSU rRNA
Rfam family: Bacterial small subunit ribosomal RNA
Source: RNAcentral